CUGAAGUGUGCGUGGAGGAGUCUGCACAUGUGGUUUCUUCUAAUCUAGCAAGUGAAAGUUUUGGCAAAUGUGGGAUUUAGUAGUUGUGGAUGGGGGCUAUGUGCCAGUUUUCCUCCUGGAGAAGGUAGAGGAAGUUGAUGAAGAGUGCUGAGCUAUGCCUGUUUGGGGAUGAAUUUCAGUUUCAUGCUUGCCUCAGUGCUUGCUCUAUGCUCUAAGGCCGUUCUAAUGCUGCUGUGGCUAGAAUAACUGCAGUGCAGUGUUAGCAGCCACAGGAAAGCAGAGCUGUGGUUGCUGCUGCCCUUUGCUGUCUAUGGGAAGUAGAAGCUUCUAACCAAUGGAGUUGCAACUCAGCUGAGAAGAGUGUUAAAGGAGCUACUCCUCAUGUAUGGAGCUUGAAAAGACUGAUUGAAUUUAGAAGAGUAAUAUGUGACAAUUGGUAAU
RNAcentral lists this long non-coding RNA (441 nucleotides) under Struthio camelus australis. RNAcentral describes it as "lncRNA (ENSSCUG00000011027.1)". The record is from RNAcentral. Lineage: Eukaryota; Metazoa; Chordata; Aves; Struthioniformes; Struthionidae.